Molecule: ribosomal RNA, 253 nt
Filed under: uncultured bacterium
Lineage: Bacteria
Description: partial 16S ribosomal RNA
Rfam family: Bacterial small subunit ribosomal RNA
Source: RNAcentral
UACAGAGGGUGCGAGCGUUAAUCGGAAUUACUGGGCGUAAAGCGUGCGUAGGCGGUCGGGUAAGUCGGGUGUGAAAGCCCCGGGCUCAACCUGGGCAUUGCAUUCGAGACUGCACGGCUGGAGUGCGGAAGAGGGAAGCGGAAUUUCCGGUGUAGCGGUGAAAUGCGCAGAUAUCGGAAGGAACAUCAGUGGCGAAAGCGGCUUCCUGGUCCAGCACUGACGCUCAGGCACUAAAGCGUGGGGAGCAAACAGG